UAGGGAAUAUUGCGCAAUGGGGGAAACCCUGACGCAGCGACGCCGCGUGAGCGAUGAAGGCCUUCGGGUCGUAAAGCUCUGUCGUAUGGGAAUAAUUUUGAAUGUACCAUAUAAGAAAGGAUCGGCUAACUUCGUGCCAGCAGCCGCGGUAAGACGAGGGAUCCUAGCGUUGUUCGGAAUCAUUGGGCGUAAAGCGGGUGUAGGUUGCUUUUUAAGUCAGGUGUGAAAGCCUAGGGCUCAACCCUAGAAG
This 250-nucleotide ribosomal RNA is filed under the name uncultured bacterium. RNAcentral describes it as "partial 16S ribosomal RNA". It matches the Rfam family "Bacterial small subunit ribosomal RNA", at positions 355 to 621 of the family's 1533-position model. The record is from RNAcentral.